AUACGUAGGGGGCGAGCGUUGUCCGGAAUGAUUGGGCGUAAAGGGCGCGUAGGCGGCCCGGUAAGUCUGGAGCGAAAGUCCUGUUUUUAAGAUGGGAAUUGCUUUGGAUACUGUCGGGCUUGAGUGCAGGAGCGGUAAGUGGAAUUCCCAGUGUAGCGGUGAAAUGCGUAGAGAUUGGGAGGAACACCAGUGGCGAAGGCGACUUACUGGACUGUAACUGACGCUGAGGCGCGAAAGUGUGGGGAGCAAACAGGAUUAGAUACCCUGGUAGUCCACACUGUAAACGAUGAAUGCUAGGUGUAGGGGGUAUCGACCCCUUCUGUGCCGCAGUCAACACAAUAAGUAUUCCGCCUGGGGAGUACGGCCGCAAGGUUGAAACUCAAAUGAAUUGACGGGG
This 397-nucleotide ribosomal RNA is filed under the name uncultured bacterium. RNAcentral describes it as "partial 16S ribosomal RNA". It matches the Rfam family "Bacterial small subunit ribosomal RNA", at positions 523 to 918 of the family's 1533-position model. The record is from RNAcentral.